GGAGGAGGCAAGCGUUGUUCGGAAUCACUGGGCUUAAAGCGUGCGUAGGCGGGAUGGCAGGUGUCUUGUGAAAGCCCUCGGCUCAACCGAGGAAUUGCUGGGCAAACCGUCAUUCUUGAGGCCAGCAGGGGGACCUGGAACUUUGGGUGGAGCGGUGAAAUGCGUAGAUAUCCAAGGGAACGCCAGUGGCGAAAGCGAGGUCCUGGGCUGGUUCUGACGCUGAGGCACGAAAGCGUGGGUAGCAAACAGGGAUUAGAUACCCUGGUAGUCCACGCCGUAAACGAUGCGCACUAGGUAUCAGCGCCUCUGACGGGGUUGGUGCCGUAGCGAAAGCAUUAAGUGCGCCGCCUGGGAGUACGGCCGCAAGGCUA
This 371-nucleotide ribosomal RNA is filed under the name uncultured organism. RNAcentral's name for it is "partial 16S ribosomal RNA". It matches the Rfam family "Bacterial small subunit ribosomal RNA", at positions 527 to 896 of the family's 1533-position model. The record is from RNAcentral.